UGGGGAAUAUUGGGCAAUGGGCGAAAGCCUGACCCAGCUAUGCCGCGUGAGUGAUGAAGGCCUUCGGGUCGUAAAGCUCUGUGGAGAGGGAAGAACAAGCAUGUGGCUAAUAUCCACGUGUUCUGACGGUACCUCUUUAGCAAGCACCGGCUAACUCCGUGCCAGCAGCCGCGGUAAUACGGAGGGUGCAAACGUUGCUCGGAAUCAUUGGGCGUAAAGCGCACGUAGGUGGCUCGUUAAGUCGGAUGUGAAAGCCCUAGGCUCAACCUAGGAAGUGCAUUCGAAACUGGCGAGCUUGAGUAUGGAAGAGGGUCGCGGAAUUCCCGGUGUAGAGGUGAAAUUCGUAGAUAUCGGGAGGAACACCAGUGGCGAAGGCGGCGACCUGGGCCAAUACUGACACUGAGGUGCGAAAGCGUGGGGAGCAAACAG
RNAcentral lists this ribosomal RNA (429 nucleotides) under uncultured bacterium. Its description in RNAcentral is "bacterial SSU rRNA". It matches the Rfam family "Bacterial small subunit ribosomal RNA", at positions 355 to 775 of the family's 1533-position model. The record is from RNAcentral.